This 1742-nucleotide long non-coding RNA is filed under the name Equus caballus (horse). RNAcentral's name for it is "lncRNA (ENSECAG00000046464.1)". Lineage: Eukaryota; Metazoa; Chordata; Mammalia; Perissodactyla; Equidae. The record is from RNAcentral.
GUGAGGACAAAGGCCUGAGCACUCACCAGGGUGUGUGCCCCCCUUGUCCCUCACCCAUGAGAACCCCAGGGCAGAGGGAGGGCAGGUGUGAGGACAGGUGCUGGGCAGAGCUGAGACCCUCAUGGUGGGGGGGGUGGGGCGGGGCGGCGGGGGAGUUUUGGGGGAUGGGACACGGGACUCCGGCCUUUGAGUUCCAGAACCUUUGGGAAACUUGCAGACUGCCUUGGCUCUCCUAGCUCCCUGUCUAGCUUGCCUUUUCUCAGGUCCUACUCAGCAGCAAGGGAAAAAUGAGAUGAAAAGGCCGAGAGGUUUGGCUCCUGCCCACUGGUAGUCCCUCUCCCCACAGUGUUUGUGUGUCAAGUGACAAAGCUGUUCUUCCUGGUGACGCUGAGUCUCUCCAAUACCUUAUAGACUGUACACAUAGGCCUCCUUGGCCUCCUCUGUCCUGGGCUUUUGCUUUUUAGUUUUGCUUUUAGUUUUUCUGUCCCUUUUAUUUAACGCACCGACUAGACACACAAAGCAGUUGAAUUUUUAUAUAUAUAUAUCUGUAUAUUGCACAAUUAUAAACUCAUUUUGCUUGUGGCUCCACACAAAAAAAGACCUGUUAAAAUUAUACCUGUUGCUUAAUUACAAUAUUUCUGAUAACCAUAGCAUAGGACAAGGGAAAAUAAAAAAACAAAACAACAAAAAAAAAACACAAAAAGACAAAUCUGUCUGCUGGUUACUUCUUCUGUCCAAGCAGAUCCGUGGUCUUUCCUUGCUUCUUUCAAGGGCUUCCCUGUGCCAAGCAAAGGAGGCUCCAGGCCACACCUGGGUUUUGCACUGUUUCUCCUGUGCUUGAGAGAGAGGUCCCAGGAUGCUGAUGCAGGACAGUUCACCUCAGUGGGUGGGUGCAAGAGCGCUCCCUUGCCCUGGCGAAGUCCAGAAUGUAGAACGCCAGGGACCCAGAACCACAUAUGAGAGUCCAGUGGGUCCCUUCCAGGAGGUAGCGAAGACUCCAGAAACGUCCCUUUCUCUUCUCCCCUAUCCUACGAGUAAUUGCAUUUGCUUUUGUAAUUCUUAAUGAGCAAUAUCUGCUAGAGAGUUUAGCUGUAACAGUUCUUUUUGAUCGUUUUUUUUUAAGUAAUUAAAAACACCAAAAAAAAAAAAAAACCUAGAAACUUGUUCUUCCAAAGCAGAGAGCAUUAUAAUCAUCAGGGCCAAAAGCUUCCCUCCCUGCGUCAUUACUUCUUCUGAGGCCUGAAUCCAGAAGAGAAAUGCUCAUAGGCUCUUUGGGUGGCCGGGCUGCCCUCGGGCCCAUUGAAGGACCUGUGCUGGGGCAGCCUGUGCACCCACUCUCGGGCCUGCUCCAGUCUAUGUUCAGUAUUAGCGGUGGGUCAUAACGUCCUUUCCCACCCAGCCUGGGAUGGGGGCAGAGGAGGCAAGGAGGCCAUUGCCGCUGAUGUUUGGUCACUAACAGGUGGGUGUCCGAAUGUGUCCACGUGCGUGCUUUCUGACUGCAAUCUGAAAUCAGCGCCCAAGUUAGCCUCACCGGGUGACCUCUGCCUGGAUGGAGCGGGGCCCACCCAGUUCAGUGUUUCUGGGGAGCUGGACGGUGGAGUGCAAAAGGCUUGCAGAACUUGAAGCCUGCUCCUUCCCUUGCUACCAAGGCCUCCUUUUCCGUUUGAUUUGUCACUGCUUCAAUCAAUAACAGCCGCUCCAGAGUCAGUAGUUGAUGAAUAUAUGACCAAAUAUCACCAGGA